Molecule: ribosomal RNA, 433 nt
Filed under: Galathea robusta
Lineage: Eukaryota; Metazoa; Arthropoda; Malacostraca; Decapoda; Galatheidae
Description: partial 16S ribosomal RNA
Rfam family: Bacterial large subunit ribosomal RNA (bases 301-433)
Source: RNAcentral
UUUUAAUUGAAGGCUUGUAUGAAUGGUUGGACAAAGGAUAAGCUGUCUUUAUUUUUAUUUUUGAAUUUGUUUUUUAAGUGAAAAAACUUAAAUUAUUUUAAGGGACGAUAAGACCCUAUAAAUCUUUAUAUUAAUGUGUUUUUAUUUUGAUUUUUAAUGUGUGAAAAAUAUAUAGAUAUAUAAAUAUUAUAUUGGGGUGAUAAGAAUAAAAAAUAAACUGUUCUAAAAAAAAACAAAGUUGUUUGAUAAAAUAGAAGUAGUAGAUCCUUUUUAAAGAUUGAAAAUUUAAGUUACUUUAGGGAUAACAGCGUUAUUUUUUUUGAGAGUUCUAAUCGAAAAAAAAGUUUGCGACCUCGAUGUUGAAUUAAAAUUUCUUUGUGGGGUAGCUUCUACAGGAGAGAGUCUGUUCGACUUUUAAAAUUUUACGUGAUCU